GAUGAACGCUGGCGGCGUGCCUAAUACAUGCAAGUCGAGCGAACAGACGAGGAGCUUGCUCCUCUGACGUUAGCGGCGGACGGGUGAGUAACACGUGGAUAACCUACCUAUAAGACUGGGAUAACUUCGGGAAACCGGAGCUAAUACCGGAUAAUAUAUUGAACCGCAUGGUUCAAUAGUGAAAGACGGUUUUGCUGUCACUUAUAGAUGGAUCCGCGCCGCAUUAGCUAGUUGGUAAGGUAACGGCUUACCAAGGCGACGAUGCGUAGCCGACCUGAGAGGGUGAUCAGCCACACUGGGACUGAGACACGCUCCAGACUCCUACGGGAGGCAGCAGUAGGGAAUCUUCCGCAAUGGGCGAAAGCCUGACGGAGCAACGCCGAGUGAGUGAUGAAGGUCUUCGGAUCGUAAAACUCUGUUAUUAGGGAAGAACAAAUGUGUAAGUAACUAUGCACGUCUUGACGGUACCUACUCAGAAAGCCACGGCUAACUACGUG
Molecule: ribosomal RNA, 497 nt
Filed under: uncultured bacterium
Lineage: Bacteria
Description: partial 16S ribosomal RNA
Rfam family: Bacterial small subunit ribosomal RNA
Source: RNAcentral